GUGAACGCUGGCGGUAGGCCUAACCCAUGCAAGUCGCACGGCAGCACAGUAAGAGCUUGCUCUUACGGGUGGCGAGUGGCGGACGGGUGAGGAAUACAUCGGAAUCUACUUUUUCGUGGGGGAUAACGUAGGGAAACCUACGCUAAUACCGCAUACGACCUACGGGUGAAAGCAGGGGAUCUUCGGACCUUGCGCGAUUGAAUGAGCCGAUGUCGGAUUAGCUAGUUGGCGGGGUAAAGGCCCACCAAGGCGACGAUCCGUAGCUGGUCUGAGAGGAUGAUCAGCCACACUGGAACUGAGACACGGUCCAGACUCCUACGGGAGGCAGCAGUGGGGAAUAUUGGACAAUGGGCGCAAGCCUGAUCCAGCCAUACCGCGUGGGUGAAGAAGGCCUUCGGGUUGUAAAGCCCUUUUGUUGGGAAAGAAAAGCAGCAGGUUAAUACCCCGCUGUUCUGACGGUACCCAAAGAAUAAGCACCGGCUAACUUCGUG
This 491-nucleotide ribosomal RNA is filed under the name uncultured bacterium. RNAcentral describes it as "partial 16S ribosomal RNA". It matches the Rfam family "Bacterial small subunit ribosomal RNA", at positions 29 to 507 of the family's 1533-position model. The record is from RNAcentral.